RNAcentral lists this long non-coding RNA (626 nucleotides) under Gossypium barbadense (sea-island cotton). RNAcentral's name for it is "long non-coding RNA (GBAR_LNC004754)". Lineage: Eukaryota; Viridiplantae; Streptophyta; Magnoliopsida; Malvales; Malvaceae. The record is from RNAcentral.
AAUGACCCACAUUUUUUUUUCAGCAAAGAGGGAAACCCUAGAUUUGCUGCCUCCCUUCAGUGUCAUCAUGUGCCCACAUUCAACCGCCACUACCCACGUUCUCCACCACCUCACACCACGCACCCACGCACCAUGUCCAAGCCACGUUUGCUGUGCACAAAAACAGUUGUAAAUGGCUAUAUAAAACCACGAAUAUGUAAUGUUUUGGAGUUUUUUUUCCACAGAAAUUGAACACAGAUUGAAGAAAUCAUUCUCGCAAAUAUACAAAAAUCAAUAAAAGUAGUAGAAUACAUUUCAAAGGUUUAUCACUGUUUUUUUUUCCCAAUUUUAUUUUUUUUCAUUCAAAUUCGCAUUUUAAAUACGAAAUAUAAGAGUAAAUGGGAGAAGCUCACCGGAGUUGCGUCGCACACGCACCACUGGAGGGCCCUGCUUCAUUGGUCGCAAGCGGUUUUCGGAGAAGUCGAAGGCUUGGCAUACAGCGAGGAGCAGAGGGGAGAGCAAAAGGGGGGGUUCUCAAAAUUUAGGGUUGUUUUUUAAACAAAGAAUAAAAUGGUUAAAAAAAUGGGUUAAGUAAUUGGAAUAAAAUAGCACCGUUUGGUGCUGGAACCACCCAUUUUGGCUCAAAG